Molecule: ribosomal RNA, 245 nt
Filed under: uncultured bacterium
Lineage: Bacteria
Description: partial 16S ribosomal RNA
Rfam family: Bacterial small subunit ribosomal RNA
Source: RNAcentral
GACAGAGGUGGCAAGCGUUGCUCGGAAUCACUGGGCUUAAAGGGUGUGUAGGCGGUUCGUUAAGUAUCCUGUGAAAGCCCCCGGCUCAACCGGGGAACUGCAGGAUAUACUGGCGAACUUGAGGUACGUAGGGGUUACUGGAACUCUGGGUGGAGCGGUGAAAUGCGUAGAUAUCCAGGGGAACGCCAAUGGCGAAGGCAGGUAACUGGGCGUAUCCUGACGCUGAGGCACGAAAGCGUGGGGAG